AUUGAACGCUGGCGGCAGGCCUAACACAUGCAAGUCGAACGAGCGGCGGACGGGUGAGUAAUGUUUGGGAAUCUGGCCUAUGGAGGGGGAUAACGACGGGAAACUGUCGCUAAUACCGCGUACCAUCGGAUGAGCCCAUGUUGGAUUAGGUAGUUGGUGGGGUAAUGGCUCACCAAGCCGACGAUCUCUAGCUGGUCUGAGAGGAUGACCAGCCACACCGGGACUGAGACACGGCCCGGACUCCUACGGGAGGCAGCAGUGGGGAAUAUUGCGCAAUGGGGGCAACCUGACGCAGCCAUGCCGCGUGUAUGAAGAAGGCCUUCGGGUUGUAAAGUUCUUUCAGUGACGAGGCGUUAAUCACAGAAGAAGCACCGGCUAACUCCGUGCCAGCAGCCGCGGUAAUUC
This 405-nucleotide ribosomal RNA is filed under the name uncultured bacterium. Its description in RNAcentral is "partial 16S ribosomal RNA". It matches the Rfam family "Bacterial small subunit ribosomal RNA", at positions 30 to 526 of the family's 1533-position model. The record is from RNAcentral.